Molecule: ribosomal RNA, 362 nt
Filed under: uncultured bacterium
Lineage: Bacteria
Description: bacterial LSU rRNA
Rfam family: Bacterial large subunit ribosomal RNA
Source: RNAcentral
UUGGGUUUAGCGACUGUUUAACAAAAACACAGCACUCUGCCAAGUCGUGAAGACGACGUAUAGGGUGUGACACGUGACCAAUGCGGAAAGAUCAAGGUGAGUUGUUAGCUCGCAAGAGCGAAGCUCCGAGCCUAAGUCCCCGUGAAUGUCGGCCGUAACUAUAACGGUCCUAAGGUAGCGAAAUUCCUUGUCGGGUAAGUUCCGACCUGCACGAAUCGUGUAACGACUGAACCGCUGUCUCGGAGAGGAUCUCGGCGAAAUUGUAACUGCGGUGAAGAUGCCGCAUGCCCGCAGUAGGACGGAAAGACCCUAUGCACCUUUACUGUAAGCUGAUAUUGUGUUCUGGUUCAUGAUGCGUAGCG